GGAAGGGAAUCGUGUCCGGUGAUGCGGCCGGUCUUCAAAACCGGUGAAGGCUGUAAGACAGUCUUAGUAGGUUCGACUCCUACUCUCUUCCGCCA
Molecule: transfer RNA, 95 nt
Filed under: Rhodospirillaceae bacterium
Lineage: Bacteria; Pseudomonadati; Pseudomonadota; Alphaproteobacteria; Rhodospirillales; Rhodospirillaceae
Description: tRNA-Sec
Rfam family: Selenocysteine transfer RNA
Source: RNAcentral